Molecule: ribosomal RNA, 483 nt
Filed under: Triticum aestivum (bread wheat)
Lineage: Eukaryota; Viridiplantae; Streptophyta; Magnoliopsida; Poales; Poaceae
Description: partial small subunit ribosomal RNA
Source: RNAcentral
AUGAAGGUUGAAGAAGCAUUGGAAGAUCCGGAUUGGAUAAAUGCCAUGCACGAAGAGCUACACAACUUUGAGAGGAACCAAGUGUGGACAUUGGUUGAGAAGCCCGACAACAACCACAACAUCAUUGGUACCAAGUGGGUGUUUCACAACAAGCAAGACGAAGAUGGACAAGUCGUUCGCAACAAAGCACGUCUCGUCUCCCAAGGCUACACUCAAGUCGAAGGUAUGGACUAUGGUGAGACAUAUGCCCCCGUUGCUAGACAUGAGUCCAUUCGCAUAUUACUUGCUUAUGCCAAUCAUCAUGAUAUCACUUUGUACCAAAUGGACAUUAUAAGUGUUUUUCUAAAUGGUGAAAUUGAGGAGGAAGUUUAUGUUAAACAACCUCCCGGCUUUGUUAAUCCUAAGAAACCCGACCAUGUUUACAAACUUCACAAAGCUCUUUAUGGUCUUGACAAGCUCCUAGAGCAUGGUAUAAAUGCUUGA